UACGUAGGGGGCAAGCGUUGUCCGGAGUUACUGGGCGUAAAGCGCACGCAGGCGGUCUCUUAAGUUUGGAGUGACAGUUGGUGGCUUAACUGCCAAAGUGCUUCGAAAACUGAGAGACUUGAGGGCUUCAGAGGGACACGGAAUUCCGGGUGGAGUGGUGAAAUGCGUAGAGAUCCGGAGGAACACCAAAGGCGAAGGCAGUGUCCUGGGAAGUACCUGACGCUCAGGUGCGAAAGCCAGGGGAGCGAACGGG
Molecule: ribosomal RNA, 253 nt
Filed under: uncultured bacterium
Lineage: Bacteria
Description: partial 16S ribosomal RNA
Rfam family: Bacterial small subunit ribosomal RNA
Source: RNAcentral